Molecule: ribosomal RNA, 253 nt
Filed under: uncultured bacterium
Lineage: Bacteria
Description: partial 16S ribosomal RNA
Rfam family: Bacterial small subunit ribosomal RNA
Source: RNAcentral
UACGUGAGGGGCGAACGUUGUUCGGUGUCACUGGGCUUAAAGGGUGCGUAGGUGGUUACGUAAGUAACGUGUGAAAUCCCUCGGCUUACCCGGGGAAUUGCGCGUUAUACUGCGUGACUUGAGGAUUUCAGGGGAAUGGGGAACUCCAGGUGUAGCGGUGAAAUGCGCAGAUAUCUGGGGGAAGGCCGGCGGCGAAGGCGCCAUUCUGGGAAAUUCCUGACACUGAGGCACGAAAGCGUGGGGAGCAAACAGG